AAGAGAUCGGGAUAACACCUGGAAACAGAUGCUAAUACCGGAUAACAACAGAUGAUGCCUAUCAACUGUUUAAAAGAUGGAUCUGCUAUCACUCUUGGAUGGACCUGCGGUGCAUUAGCUAGUUGGUAGGGUAACGGCCUACCAAGGCGAUGAUGCAUAGCCGAGUUGAGAGACUGAUCGGCCACAUUGGGACUGAGACACGGCCCAAACUCCUACGGGAGGCAGCAGUA
Molecule: ribosomal RNA, 230 nt
Filed under: uncultured Lactobacillus sp.
Lineage: Bacteria; Bacillati; Bacillota; Bacilli; Lactobacillales; Lactobacillaceae
Description: partial 16S ribosomal RNA
Rfam family: Bacterial small subunit ribosomal RNA
Source: RNAcentral